RNAcentral lists this ribosomal RNA (207 nucleotides) under uncultured bacterium. Its description in RNAcentral is "partial 16S ribosomal RNA". It matches the Rfam family "Bacterial small subunit ribosomal RNA", at positions 568 to 774 of the family's 1533-position model. The record is from RNAcentral.
CGCGUAGGUGGUUUGUUAAGUUGGAUGUGAAAGCCCCGGGCUCAACCUGGGAACUGCAUCCAAAACUGACAAGCUAGAGUACGGUAGAGGGUGGUGGAAUUUCCUGUGUAGCGGUGAAAUGCGUAGAUAUAGGAAGGAACACCAGUGGCGAAGGCGACCACCUGGACUGAUACUGACACUGAGGUGCGAAAGCGUGGGGAGCAAACA